This 468-nucleotide ribosomal RNA is filed under the name uncultured bacterium. RNAcentral describes it as "partial 16S ribosomal RNA". It matches the Rfam family "Bacterial small subunit ribosomal RNA", at positions 28 to 507 of the family's 1533-position model. The record is from RNAcentral.
GACGAACGCUGGCGGCGUGCUUAACACAUGCAAGUCGAACGGAAAGGCCCUGCUUUUGUGGGGUGCUCGAGUGGCGAACGGGUUAGUAACACGUGAGUAACCUGCCCUUGACUUUGGGAUAACUUCAGGAAACUGGGGCUAAUACCGGAUAGGAGCUCCUGCUGCAUGGUGGGGGUUGGAAAGUUUCGGCGGUUGGGGAUGGACUCGCGGCUUAUCAGCUUGUUGGUGGGGUAGUGGCUUACCAAGGCUUUGACGGGUAGCUGGCCUGAGAGGGUGACCGGCCACAUUGGGACUGAGAUACGGCCCAGACUCCUACGGGAGGCAGCAGUGGGGAAUAUUGCACAAUGGGCGGAAGCCUGAUGCAGCAACGCCGCGUGCGGGAUGACGGCCUUCGGGUUGUAAACCGCUUUCGCCUGUGACGAAGCGUGAGUGACGGUAAUGGGUAAAGAAGCACCGGCUAACUACGUG